GACCAGGCCCUGCGCAACAAGAGGCUGUGAACCCCGCCAGGCCCGGAAGGGAGCAACGGUAAGCGGAUGCUCAGUGUGCCGCAGGUAAACUUGGUCCUU
This 99-nucleotide signal recognition particle RNA is filed under the name Chitinispirillales bacterium. RNAcentral describes it as "signal recognition particle sRNA small type". It matches the Rfam family "Bacterial small signal recognition particle RNA". From Rfam's summary of the family: The signal recognition particle (SRP) is a universally conserved ribonucleoprotein involved in the co-translational targeting of proteins to membranes. Lineage: Bacteria; Pseudomonadati; Fibrobacterota; Chitinispirillia; Chitinispirillales. The record is from RNAcentral.